GGCAUGGUGGCCAAGCGGUAAGGCAUUGGUCUUGUAAACCAAAGAUCAUGGGUUCAACCCCCCAUCCAUGCCU
Molecule: non-coding RNA, 73 nt
Organism: Acanthochromis polyacanthus (spiny chromis)
Lineage: Eukaryota; Metazoa; Chordata; Actinopteri; Pomacentridae
Source: the annotation of a RefSeq genome assembly